RNAcentral lists this ribosomal RNA (253 nucleotides) under uncultured bacterium. Its description in RNAcentral is "partial 16S ribosomal RNA". It matches the Rfam family "Bacterial small subunit ribosomal RNA", at positions 524 to 776 of the family's 1533-position model. The record is from RNAcentral.
UACGAAGGGGGCUAGCGUUGCUCGGAAUCACUGGGCGUAAAGCGCACGUAGGCGGGUUCUUAAGUCAGGGGUGAAAUCCUGGAGCUCAACUCCAGAACUGCCUUUGAUACUGGGAAUCUCGAGUCCGGGAGAGGUGAGUGGAACUGCGAGUGUGGAGGUGAAAUUCGUAGAUAUUCGCAAGAACACCAGUGGCGAAGGCGGCUCACUGGCCCGGUACUGACGCUGAGGUGCGAAAGCGUGGGGAGCAAACAGG